GGUGAGUAACACGUGAGCAACCUGCCCUGGACUCUGGGAUAAGCGCUGGAAACGGCGUCUAAUACUGGAUAUGAGACGUGGCCGCAUGGUCAACGUUUGGAAAGAUUUUUCGGUCUGGGAUGGGCUCGCGGCCUAUCAGCUUGUUGGUGAGGUAAUGGCUCACCAAGGCGUCGACGGGUAGCCGGCCUGAGAGGGUGACCGGCCACACUGGGACUGAGACACGGCCCAGACUCCUACGGGAGGCAGCAGUGGGGAAUAUUGCACAAUGGGCGGAAGCCUGAUGCAGCAACGCCGCGUGAGGGAUGACGGCCUUCGGGUUGUAAACCUCUUUUAGCAAGGAAGAAGCUUUUGUGACGGUACUUGCAGAAAAAGCGCCGGCUAACUACGUGCCAGCAGCCGCGGUAAUACGUAGGGCGCAAGCGUUAUCCGGAAUUAUUGGGCGUAAAGAGCUCGUAGGCGGUUUGUCGCGUCUGCUGUGAAAUCCCGAGGCUCAACCUCGGGCCUGCAGUGGGUACGGGCAGACUAGAGUGCGGUAGGGGAGAUUGGAAUUCCUGGUGUAGCGGUGGAAUGCGCAGAUAUCAGGAGGAACACCGAUGGCGAAGGCAGAUCUCUGGGCCGUAACUGACGCUGAGGAGCGAAAGGGUGGGGAGCAAACAGGCUUAGAUACCCUGGUAGUCCACCCCGU
Molecule: ribosomal RNA, 685 nt
Filed under: Microbacterium sp.
Lineage: Bacteria; Bacillati; Actinomycetota; Actinomycetes; Micrococcales; Microbacteriaceae
Description: bacterial SSU rRNA
Rfam family: Bacterial small subunit ribosomal RNA
Source: RNAcentral